CGAGGAGCUUGCUCCUCUGACGUUAGCGGCGGACGGGUGAGUAACACGUGGAUAACCUACCUAUAAGACUGGGAUAACUUCGGGAAACCGGAGCUAAUACCGGAUAAUAUAUUGAACCGCAUGGUUCAAUAGUGAAAGACGGUUUUGCUGUCACUUAUAGAUGGAUCCGCGCCGCAUUAGCUAGUUGGUAAGGUAACGGCUUACCAAGGCAACGAUGCGUAGCCGACCUGAGAGGGUGAUCGGCCACACUGGAACUGAGACACGGUCCAGACUCCUACGGGAGGCAGCAGUAGGGAAUCUUCCGCAAUGGGCGAAAGCCUGACGGAGCAACGCCGCGUGAGUGAUGAAGGUCUUCGGAUCGUAAAACUCUGUUAUUAGGGAAGAACAAAUGUGUAAGUAACUAUGCACGUCUUGACGGUACCUAAUCAGAAAGCCACGGCUAACUACGUGCCAGCAGCCGCGGUAAUACGUAGGUGGCAAGCGUUAUCCGGAAUUAUUGGGCGUAAAGCGCGCGUAGGCGGUUUUUUAAGUCUGAUGUGAAAGCCCACGGCUCAACCGUGGAGGGUCAUUGGAAACUGGAAAACUUGAGUGCAGAAGAGGAAAGUGGAAUUCCAUGUGUAGCGGUGAAAUGCGCAGAGAUAUGGAGGAACACCAGUGGCGAAGGCGACUUUCUGGUCUGUAACUGACGCUGAUGUGCGAAAGCGUGGGGAUCAAACAGGAUUAGAUACCCUGGUAGUCCACGCCGUAAACGAUGAGUGCUAAGUGUUAGGGGGUUUCCGCCCCUUAGUGCUGCAGCUAAC
This 800-nucleotide ribosomal RNA is filed under the name Staphylococcus epidermidis. Its description in RNAcentral is "bacterial SSU rRNA". It matches the Rfam family "Bacterial small subunit ribosomal RNA", at positions 72 to 856 of the family's 1533-position model. The record is from RNAcentral. Lineage: Bacteria; Bacillati; Bacillota; Bacilli; Caryophanales; Staphylococcaceae.